GAACAGAAAAUCCUCCGAACGAUUAUAAUAACAUAGACCAACAAGUCAAAGUAAUCCAUUUUCCAAUUGACCCAAAACUAUUUGAUCAACGGACCAAGUUACCCUAGGGAUAACAGCGCAAUCCUAUUUAAGAGUUCAUAUCGACAAUAGGGUUUACGACCUCGAUGUUGGAUCAGGACAUCCCAAUGGUGCAGAAGCUAUUAAUGGUUCGUUUGUUCAACGAUUAAAGUCCUACGUGAUCUGAGUUCAGACCGGAGAA
Molecule: ribosomal RNA, 259 nt
Filed under: Praomys jacksoni complex sp. 'Ib'
Lineage: Eukaryota; Metazoa; Chordata; Mammalia; Rodentia; Muridae
Description: partial large subunit ribosomal RNA
Rfam family: Bacterial large subunit ribosomal RNA
Source: RNAcentral